AUCUUAUCCAGAGUGGUGGAGGGACUGGCCCUAUGAAACCCGGCAACCCGUUUGAAGGUGCUAAAUCCAGCAGGAACACAUCCUGAAAGAUAAGAU
This 96-nucleotide non-coding RNA is filed under the name Fictibacillus enclensis. Its description in RNAcentral is "SAM-I sequence". It matches the Rfam family "SAM riboswitch aptamer (S box leader)". From Rfam's summary of the family: The SAM riboswitch is found upstream of a number of genes which code for proteins involved in methionine or cysteine biosynthesis in Gram-positive bacteria. The SAM riboswitch acts at the level of transcription termination control. The predicted structure consists of a complex stem-loop region followed by a single stem loop terminator region. Lineage: Bacteria; Bacillati; Bacillota; Bacilli; Caryophanales; Fictibacillaceae. The record is from Rfam by way of RNAcentral.